UACGGGGGGAGCAAGCGUUGUUCGGAUUUACUGGGCGUAAAGGGCGCGUAGGCGGCGCAACAAGUCACUUGUGAAAUCCCCGGGCUUAACCCGGAGCGGCCAAGUGAUACUGUCGUGCUAGAGUGCGGAAGGGGCUACUGGAAUUCUCGGUGUAGCGGUGAAAUGCGUAGAUAUCGAGAGGAACACCUGCGGCGAAGGCGGGUAGCUGGGCCGACACUGACGCUGAGGCGCGAAAGCCAGGGGAGCGAACGGG
This 253-nucleotide ribosomal RNA is filed under the name uncultured bacterium. Its description in RNAcentral is "partial 16S ribosomal RNA". It matches the Rfam family "Bacterial small subunit ribosomal RNA", at positions 524 to 776 of the family's 1533-position model. The record is from RNAcentral.